This is a long non-coding RNA of Suricata suricatta (meerkat), 592 nucleotides long. RefSeq lists it as uncharacterized. NCBI's taxonomy places the organism in Eukaryota, Metazoa, Chordata, Mammalia, Carnivora, Herpestidae. The record is from RefSeq and is a predicted model, not a curated record. The transcript has 3 exons.
UCUAACAAGCUCUUCCAAGAUGAUGUCAUACUGGUGACCAGGGACCCAUGAAGGUGGACGUCGUGUCCACAAAGAGGCACCAACGGACUCAGAGCACUGAAUUCAGAGUCCCGAAGCUCCAGAACUCAUCCUGAAUGCAGCCAAAUCACUGCUGGGCCAGAGCGUCUCUGCCAGCACUGGUGCGUGGACGGGGCUCACCCUGACAGAGCCCUCCAAGCCUGGGAACAGGCCGCUUUCUGCCGCGGCCUCUGGAGACGAAUUACAUCACCCGGGUCUCUGCCUUGCUCCGUCUCUCUGACAGUCCCCAGCUCAGGGGAGACCCAGGGACUUGGACAACCCGGGAUGGCACGUGUGUCUUUCACAUGUGACUCUCCUGAGCGUCUGUGACGGGAAUGCUCGAAAGGAAGACAUCCGUGCCACUGACAGGUGCCGAGAAGCUCCUGUGGCCUCGAGAAUUUCUGUAAUUCUGCGGGUCCCGGCCUGCGCCCCCCUCUCUGGCCCAGAGCCCCUCGGGCUGAGGCGAAGGGUCCACAUGUCGCUGAAAAUUCCCCCUCACCUCAGGCCUCUUCAAAUUAGAACUUCUCCCAUGUAC